UAAGGACAGUGAAGUCAGACCGGAAGGACUGGUGGAGUGCUUAGAAGUGAGAAUGCCGGUAUGAGUAGCGAAAGACGGGUGAGAAUCCCGUCCACCGAAUGCCUAAGGUUUCCUGAGGAAGGCUCGUCCGCUCAGGGUUAGUCAGGACCUAAGCCGAGGCCGACAGGCGUAGGCGAUGGACAACAGGUUGAUAUUCCUGUACCACCUCUUUAUCGUUUGAGCAAUGGAGGGACGCAGAAGGAUAGAAGAAGCGUGCGAUUGGUUGUGCACGUCCAAGCAGUUAGGCUGAUAAGUAGGCAAAUCCGCUUAUCGUGAAGGCUGAGCUGUGAUGGGGAAGCUCCUUAUGGAGCGAAGUCUUUGAUUCCCCGCUGCCAAGAAAAGCUUCUAGCGAGAUAAAAGGUGCCUGUACCGCAAACCGACACAGGUAGGCGAGGAGAGAAUCCUAAGGUGUGCGAGAGAACUCUGGUUAAGGAACUCGGCAAAAUGACCCCGUAACUUCGGGAGAAGGGGUGCUUUCUUAACGGAAAGCCGCAGUGAAUAGGCCCAAGCGACUGUUUAGCAAAAACACAGCUCUCUGCGAAGCCGUAAGGCGAAGUAUAGGGGGUGACACCUGCCCGGUGCUGGAAGGUUAAGGAGAGGGGUUAGCGUAAGCGAAGCUCUGAACUGAAGCCCCAGUAAACGGCGGCCGUAACUAUAACGGUCCUAAGGUAGCGAAAUUCCUUGUCGGGUAAGUUCCGACCCGCACGAAAGGUGUAACGAUUUGGGCACUGUCUCAACCAGAGACUCGGUGAAAUUAUAGUACCUGUGAAGAUGCAGGUUACCCGCGACAGGACGGAAAGACCCCGUGGAGCUUUACUGUAGCCUGAUAUUGAAUUUUGGUACAGUUUGUACAGGAUAGGCGGGAGCCAUUGAAACCGGAGCGCUAGCUUCGGUGGAGGCGCUGGUGGGAUACCGCCCUGACUGUAUUGAAAUUCUAACCUACGGGUCUUAUCGACCCGGGAGACAGUGUCAGGUGGGCAGUUUGACUGGGGCGGUCGCCUCCUAAAGUGUAACGGAGGCGCCCAAAGGUUCCCUCAGAAUGGUUGGAAAUCAUUCGUAGAGUGCAAAGGCAUAAGGGAGCUUGACUGCGAGACCUACAAGUCGAGCAGGGACGAAAGUCGGGCUUAGUGAUCCGGUGGUUCCGCAUGGAAGGGCCAUCGCUCAACGGAUAAAAGCUACCCCGGGGAUAACAGGCUUAUCUCCCCCAAGAGUCCACAUCGACGGGGAGGUUUGGCACCUCGAUGUCGGCUCAUCGCAUCCUGGGGCUGUAGUCGGUCCCAAGGGUUGGGCUGUUCGCCCAUUAAAGCGGUACGCGAGCUGGGUUCAGAACGUCGUGAGACAGUUCGGUCCCUAUCCGUCGUGGGCGUAGGAAAUUUGAGAGGAGCUGUCCUUAGUACGAGAGGACCGGGAUGGACGCACCGCUGGUGUACCAGUUGUUCUGCCAAGGGCAUAGCUGGGUAGCUAUGUGCGGAAGGGAUAAGUGCUGAAAGCAUCUAAGCAUGAAGCCCCCCUCAAGAUGAGAUUUCCCAUAG
This 1571-nucleotide ribosomal RNA is filed under the name Bacillus cereus. Its description in RNAcentral is "partial 23S ribosomal RNA". It matches the Rfam family "Bacterial large subunit ribosomal RNA", at positions 1242 to 2819 of the family's 2925-position model. Lineage: Bacteria; Bacillati; Bacillota; Bacilli; Caryophanales; Bacillaceae. The record is from RNAcentral.